RNAcentral lists this vault RNA (98 nucleotides) under Anabas testudineus (climbing perch). Its description in RNAcentral is "Vault RNA (ENSATEG00000027180.1)". It matches the Rfam family "Vault RNA". Rfam says of the family: This family of RNAs are found as part of the enigmatic vault ribonucleoprotein complex. The complex consists of a major vault protein (MVP), two minor vault proteins (VPARP and TEP1), and several small untranslated RNA molecules. Lineage: Eukaryota; Metazoa; Chordata; Actinopteri; Anabantiformes; Anabantidae. The record is from Rfam by way of RNAcentral.
GCACCGGUCUAGCUCAGUGGUUACUUCGUAACUGACAACGAAUCUACCCGACGGUCCGCGGAGCGUGGGUUCGACCACGGGCGCUGUCCAGUGUUUUU